AAUCAGAAUCAGCUGUGAUCAUAACAAAUAUACAGAAGUGAAACAAGUGAUCACUAUCAACAUUAAAUUAUUGUCAAAAGUGAAAAUAUUAAAUGUUUCAUGUUAUUUUUGAAUUAACUAGAAUUUAUUGAAGGUAUACCAAAAUAUUUUUUUAAGAAGAAGAAGAAGAAGUUGAAAUACGGUUUAUUAUGAAGGAAAAGGAUAUGUUUGUUAAAUUUUUCGACAGACUAGAAAUUUAUUUCUUUAAUACGUACUCUUCUUAUUAUUAUGACAAACAGAUUCAUGGAAUCGAAAACCGUCGAUGCGGGAACUUUAUUAAGAAGUUUAUUACAAGAUGUCAAGGAUAUGAAAAUUUGACGAGACUCUUGGCAGAUGAAAAUCUUUGGGAUGAAUUUACUUGAGGACUAAAAAUUUUUUUUCAUUCUUCUUAAUGUUCAAAAUACUGUUAAAAGACAGUGAAAGAAAAAAGCGAUAUGGGGUGAUACUUGAAACAUAAGAUCUAUGUCAUGGAAAAUUUUGAAGAUGCUGCAGAAAUAAAAGACGGCAAGGAACUUGAACAACAUUCAUCAGUUGAUUGAUAAAUUUUUCUAAAUUCGUUU
Molecule: long non-coding RNA, 599 nt
Organism: Leptopilina heterotoma
Lineage: Eukaryota; Metazoa; Arthropoda; Insecta; Hymenoptera; Figitidae
Exons: 3
Source: RefSeq, a predicted model, not a curated record